UACAGCCAUAUCAUGUUGAAACACCUGUUUCUGUGUGAUCACUAAAGUUAAGCAAUGUUGAACCUGGUCAGUACCUAGAUGGGUAACCACUCAGAAAUACCAGGUGGUGUA
This is a non-coding RNA of Acanthosepion pharaonis, 111 nucleotides long. NCBI's taxonomy places the organism in Eukaryota, Metazoa, Mollusca, Cephalopoda, Sepiida, Sepiidae. The record is from the annotation of a GenBank genome assembly.